RNAcentral lists this ribosomal RNA (614 nucleotides) under uncultured bacterium. Its description in RNAcentral is "bacterial SSU rRNA". It matches the Rfam family "Bacterial small subunit ribosomal RNA", at positions 60 to 657 of the family's 1533-position model. The record is from RNAcentral.
AGUCGAGCGGACAGAAGGGAGCUUGCUCCCGGAUGUUAGCGGCGGACGGGUGAGUAACACGUGGGUAACCUGCCUGUAAGACUGGGAUAACUCCGGGAAACCGGAGCUAAUACCGGAUAGUUCCUUGAACCGCAUGGUUCAAGGAUGAAAGACGGUUUCGGCUGUCACUUACAGAUGGACCCGCGGCGCAUUAGCUAGUUGGUGAGGUAACGGCUCACCAAGGCGACGAUGCGUAGCCGACCUGAGAGGGUGAUCGGCCACACUGGGACUGAGACACGGCCCAGACUCCUACGGGAGGCAGCAGUAGGGAAUCUUCCGCAAUGGACGAAAGUCUGACGGAGCAACGCCGCGUGAGUGAUGAAGGUUUUCGGAUCGUAAAGCUCUGUUGUUAGGGAAGAACAAGUGCAAGAGUAACUGCUUGCACCUUGACGGUACCUAACCAGAAAGCCACGGCUAACUACGUGCCAGCAGCCGCGGUAAUACGUAGGUGGCAAGCGUUGUCCGGAAUUAUUGGGCGUAAAGGGCUCGCAGGCGGUUUCUUAAGUCUGAUGUGAAAGCCCCCGGCUCAACCGGGGAGGGUCAUUGGAAACUGGGAAACUUGAGUGCAGAAGAGG